CUGGCGGCGUGCCUAACACAUGCAAGUCGAACGAGAAAGUGGAGCAAUCCAUGAGUAAAGUGGCGACCGGGUGAGUAACACGUGACUAACCUGCCUUCGAGUGGGGGAUAACCUCGGGAAACCGGGGCUAAUACCGCAUAAUGCCGAGAGGUUAAAGGAGCAAUUCGCUUGAAGAGGGGGUCGCGGCUGAUUAGCUAGUUGGCGGGGUAACGGCCCACCAAGGCGAUGAUCGGUAGCCGGCCUGAGAGGGCGCACGGCCACACUGGAACUGAAACACGGUCCAGACUCCUACGGGAGGCAGCAGUGGGGAAUUUUGCGCAAUGGGGGAAACCCUGACGCAGCAACGCCGCGUGGAGGAUGAAGUCCUUUGGGACGUAAACUCCUUUCGACCGGGACGAUAAUGACGGUACCGGUGGAAGAAGCCCCGGCUAACUUCGUGCCAGCAGCCGCGGUAAUACGAGGGGGGCAAGCGUUGUUCGGAAUUAUUGGGCGUAAAGGGCGCGUAGGCGGUGCGGUAAGUCACCUGUGAAACCUCUGGGCUUAACUCAGAGCCUGCAGGCGAAACUGCCGUGCUGGA
RNAcentral lists this ribosomal RNA (577 nucleotides) under uncultured bacterium. Its description in RNAcentral is "bacterial SSU rRNA". It matches the Rfam family "Bacterial small subunit ribosomal RNA", at positions 36 to 645 of the family's 1533-position model. The record is from RNAcentral.